This 51-nucleotide transfer RNA is filed under the name Pomphorhynchus laevis. Its description in RNAcentral is "tRNA-His". The record is from RNAcentral. RNAcentral also lists the same sequence under 1 other name. Lineage: Eukaryota; Metazoa; Acanthocephala; Palaeacanthocephala; Echinorhynchida; Pomphorhynchidae.
UUAGGCUUAGCUUCAAAGCCCCUUAUUGUGGUUAAGGGAAGAGUGCCUAAA